GUGUUUGCUUAGGCAGCACACAUAAUAAAAAUGAGAACAAUAUAGAGAAUAUUAGCAUGGUCCCUGUGCAAAUUCAGGAAGAGCUCCAUAUUUUU
RNAcentral lists this small nuclear RNA (95 nucleotides) under Vombatus ursinus (common wombat). The record is from RNAcentral. Lineage: Eukaryota; Metazoa; Chordata; Mammalia; Diprotodontia; Vombatidae.